AUAUGACCUGUCCACGGAAACCUAAAUCAUAGCAAAUAAUGAUGAUGAUUAAAUGGAAAGGGUUAAGAAUACUACUUCAAACCAUAAGACGAUGAACUGAUGGUCUGAAUCCACCUUUACAUAAAAGCAUGGUAUUAAUGGAUGCAUACCAUUUAAGACUAUAAAUGUUUACCUUU
Daphnia pulicaria is the source of this 176-nucleotide long non-coding RNA. RefSeq lists it as uncharacterized. The record is from RefSeq and is a predicted model, not a curated record. The transcript has 2 exons. Lineage: Eukaryota; Metazoa; Arthropoda; Branchiopoda; Diplostraca; Daphniidae.